GAUGAACGCUAGCGAUAGGCUUAACACAUGCAAGUCGGGGGCAGCAUAUUCGAAGCUUGCUUUGAAUGACGGCGACCGGCGCACGGGUGCGUAACGCGUAUGUAACCUGCCUGUCAGAAGGGGAUAACCCGGUGAAAGUCGGACUAAUACCCUAUAUGCUCACGAGAGACGCCUGCCUUGGUGAGGAAAGAUUUAUCACUGACAGAUGGACAUGCGUCCCAUUAGCUGGUUGGUAGGGCAACGGCCUACCAAGGCAACGAUGGGUAGGGGAACUGAGAGGUUUAUCCCCCACAUUAGUACUGAGACACGAACCAA
This 315-nucleotide ribosomal RNA is filed under the name uncultured bacterium. RNAcentral describes it as "bacterial SSU rRNA". It matches the Rfam family "Bacterial small subunit ribosomal RNA", at positions 28 to 334 of the family's 1533-position model. The record is from RNAcentral.